This 465-nucleotide ribosomal RNA is filed under the name uncultured bacterium. RNAcentral describes it as "partial 16S ribosomal RNA". It matches the Rfam family "Bacterial small subunit ribosomal RNA", at positions 28 to 507 of the family's 1533-position model. The record is from RNAcentral.
GACGAACGCUGGCGGCGUGCUUAACACAUGCAAGUCGAACGGAAAGGCCCUGCUUGCCGGGUACUCGAGUGGCGAACGGGUGAGUAACACGUGGGUGAUCUGCCCUGCACUUCGGGAUAAGCCUGGGAAACUGGGUCUAAUACCGGAUAGUAGCCAUUUUUAGUGUGAUGGUUGGAAAGUUUUUUCGGUGUAGGAUGAGCUCGCGGCCUAUCAGCUUGUUGGUGGGGUAAUGGCCUACCAAGGCGGCGACGGGUAGCCGGCCUGAGAGGGUGGACGGCCACAUUGGGACUGAGAUACGGCCCAGACUCCGACGGGAGGCAGCAGUGGGGAAUAUUGCACAAUGGGCGCAAGCCUGAUGCAGCGACGCCGCGGGGGGGAUGACGGCCUUCGGGUUGUAAACUCCUUUCGCUAGGGACGAAGCUUUUUGUGACGGUACCUAGAGAAGAAGCACCGGCUAACUACGUG